Molecule: long non-coding RNA, 401 nt
Organism: Ictalurus punctatus (channel catfish)
Lineage: Eukaryota; Metazoa; Chordata; Actinopteri; Siluriformes; Ictaluridae
Source: Ensembl
UGGAGUUUAGUGGAGAAUGUUGGUGUCUGAUGGAGUUUAAUGGAGAAUGCUGGUGUCUGAUGGAGUUUAAUGGAGAAUGCUGAUGUCUGAUGGUGUUUAGUGGAGAAUGCUGGUGUCUGAUGGAGUUUAGUGGAGAAUGCUGGUGUCUGAUGGAGUUUAAUGGAGAAUGCUGGUGUCUGAUGGAGUUUAAUGGAGAAUGCUGGUGUCUGAUGGAGUUUAAUGGAGAAUGCUGGUGUCUGAUGGAGUUUAAUGGAGAAUGCUGGUGUCUGAUGGAGUUUAAUGGAGAAUGCUGGUGUGUGAUGGAGUUUAAUGGAGAAUGUUGGUGUGUGAUGGAGUUUAAUGGAGAAUGCUGGUGUCUGAUACAGUCUGGUGAAGAAUGUAUGUGUACCCCUGUAUGCGGU